Empidonax traillii (willow flycatcher) is the source of this 658-nucleotide long non-coding RNA. RefSeq lists it as uncharacterized. The record is from RefSeq and is a predicted model, not a curated record. The transcript has 3 exons. Lineage: Eukaryota; Metazoa; Chordata; Aves; Passeriformes; Tyrannidae.
UUCAGAACCAAGGAGAGCUCCAGCCGUGACGCCGAGGAUGCUCCUUGCCGGCGCUGACGAGAAAAGAUUCGAUUUCGUUGGUACCACCAAAAGAGCCACCCUACUUGCUCCAUCUUACUCAUCAUUUCCAAAUUAGCUGAACUUGAUUGAGCCAGAUCAGGCUGCAGCCCUCAUGCACAAAGGCAAAGAGAAAUUAGUCACUGCGCUGCCACCUCUGCAAACUCGUGCUUUUAAGAGCAUGGCUUUGUGCAUCUGAAUCGAGCAGAGGCCACGUCUCUCCUGAUGCUUCAUGUGGACUCUUGAAUUCAAUUUCCCACUCUUUGUCUGCAAACUCUAGUCAAUAGGAAGCGAUGAAGAUGUCCCCAGGGGAAGAGGGGUGUCUUUGUUUGUAUUAAUUCAGGAACAUUUUCUCACUCUUUAUUCCCUGAUGCAACAGAGGAAAGCUGGAAAGUGGCUCACUGAUGUUUUCUUACUGAGGGUCAGCCUGUGAUCCAUGUGCUUCCAGAGAAAUUAUUUACUUGGGCUCUUUCUGCAGAGCUCAGGGAAGGGCUGGGUAAAAUUCAGGCCCUUUUUUGAAACCUUGAUAGACAAGAGUGUCCCCAGUUUUUUGCCUGUUCCUCUCACACAUAAAACGUCUCCUUUCACUUGAGUUACAACC